RNAcentral lists this ribosomal RNA (579 nucleotides) under Triticum aestivum (bread wheat). RNAcentral's name for it is "partial small subunit ribosomal RNA". Lineage: Eukaryota; Viridiplantae; Streptophyta; Magnoliopsida; Poales; Poaceae. The record is from RNAcentral.
AUGAACUUUAUGUAUGAACUUGUAUUAAUUUGGUCUAUUCGGUGUUGUGUAAUGAAGAUGAGCCGGCAAUGGAUGUACGAUGACCGAUGCUCUCCCCAGUUCGUUGAGGGCGUGCAUACUUUUCUGCUUGCGGCUGAGGCAAACAAGUGGGCGGAUGGUUUUAUGCCUUGUCCAUGUGCUGGCUGUAAGAAUGGUCGCAAUUACUCUAUGUCAAGAACCAUUCACGUCCACCUGUUUGAGUCCGGUUUCAUGCCCCACUAUAAUGUUUGGACCCAGCACGGAGAAAGAGGGGUUAUGAUGGAAGACAAUGAAGAAGAAGAGGACGACGACAGCUAUCCUGGCCAUGGGUUCCCUGAAUACGAUGAUACAACAAUGGGGGAAGAAGCUGAGCCGGUAAUGCGGGAAGAAGCUGAGCCGGCAAUGCGGGAAGAAGCUGAAGAAGAGGCAUCAGAUGAGCCCGUUGAUGAUCUAGGUCGGGCCAUUGCCGAUGCAAAGAGAAACUGCGCAAGUGAUUUGGAGAAGAAGAAGUUGCAGCACAUGUUAGAGGAUCACAAAAAAUGUUGUACCCGAAUUGCGUAG